This 419-nucleotide ribosomal RNA is filed under the name bacterium. RNAcentral describes it as "partial 16S ribosomal RNA". It matches the Rfam family "Bacterial small subunit ribosomal RNA", at positions 355 to 776 of the family's 1533-position model. The record is from RNAcentral.
UGGGGGAUAUUGCACAAUGGGCGAAAGCCUGAUGCAGCGACGCCGCGUGGGGGAUGAAGGCCUUCGGGUUGUAAACUUCUUUUGCUCUGAACAAGGCGCACCAUGGGGUGUGUCGAGUGUAGGGGUUGAUUAGCGCCGGCUAACUACGUGCCAGCAGCCGCGGUAAUACGUAGGGCGCGAGCGUUGUCCGGAAUUAUUGGGCGUAAAGGGCUUGUAGGUGGCUGGUUGCGUCUGUCGUGAAAGCUCAUGGCUUAACUGUGGGUUUGCGGUGGGUACGGGCUGGCUUGAGUGCAGUAGGGGAGGCUGGAAUUCCUGGUGUAGCGGUGGAAUGCGCAGAUAUCAGGAGGAAUACCGGUGGCGAAGGCGGGUCUCUGGGCUGUUACUGACACUGAGGAGCGAAAGCAUGGGGAGCGAACAGG